UUCACUCCACCCUGUUCCGUUAAAAGUGAAAGUAAACAUUGCGUAUAGUUUACUGCAAGGUCACAACAAGGAGAGAGAGAGAAAAUAUACAGAAGCGGCGAAAGUAUGGACGACAUACAUAGAAAAUCUGCAAGUGAACAUUCAGACCAGGAACAUCUCAGGAAACAGAUGGAAAGUCAGGAAGAGAUGAAAGGACUGAUACAACAGAUUGCUAGAGAAAGUUCAAACAUUGAUCUCAGGAUUGUGCUGUUGGGUAAAACUGGAACAGGAAAGAGUUCAGCAGGAAACACCAUCAUCGGCGACUGUGUUUAAGAGUGGACACGCAGGGAAGAGAGGUUUGAAUGUGAUGACUUUGAGAACACAUGGAACCGGGGGACUGACACCGCUGAACUUCUGUGGUGGUG
Long non-coding RNA from Sinocyclocheilus rhinocerous, 404 nucleotides. RefSeq lists it as uncharacterized. The record is from RefSeq and is a predicted model, not a curated record. NCBI's taxonomy places the organism in Eukaryota, Metazoa, Chordata, Actinopteri, Cypriniformes, Cyprinidae. The transcript is spliced from 4 exons.